Molecule: long non-coding RNA, 437 nt
Organism: Pecten maximus
Lineage: Eukaryota; Metazoa; Mollusca; Bivalvia; Pectinida; Pectinidae
Exons: 3
Source: RefSeq, a predicted model, not a curated record
GAACUGUCUGCUAAGACAGAGCAAUUGUCUCCCUUGACCUUCGGAAAUGGUCUUGUGAAACAGCAUGCCGGUUGAGGUACCUAAACAAAGGGUACUGAAGUACUCUCAAGCUCUGGUUGGAUGCCCAGGGCAGGCAGCAGCAUAUGGGAAAUGUGUUGCAUCGAAGAGUACAGUUAGAAAGGGAGAUUGCGAAAAGGAAUUUCUGUUACUCAAAGAAUGCAUGCAGGCUGGUAUGAAGAAACUGAAGUAGAAAAGAACUUAGCAGACAAUACUUGGAUUUUUCUUAUGAAUUGUUAAAGCUUGUGAACAUUAGUAUGUUGAACCCCUGUGAGGAACAUUGAUAGUGUAUGACAGUGUUUUACUGCUAAUUUGGUACAGAUGUAUUCAUUAACAUUAUAUAAUUUGCAAAUUGAGUAUUAAAAUGUAAAAGAAAAUUC